RNAcentral lists this ribosomal RNA (468 nucleotides) under uncultured bacterium. Its description in RNAcentral is "partial 16S ribosomal RNA". It matches the Rfam family "Bacterial small subunit ribosomal RNA", at positions 28 to 507 of the family's 1533-position model. The record is from RNAcentral.
GAUGAACGCUGGCGGCGUGCUUAACACAUGCAAGUCGAACGGAAAGGCCCUGCUUUUGUGGGGUGCUCGAGUGGCGCACGGGUGAGUAACACGUGAGUAACCUGCCCUUGUCUUUGGGAUAACUUCAGGAAACUGGGGCUCAUACCGGAUAGGAGCUACUGCUGCGUGGUGGGGGUUGGAAAGUUUCGGCGGUGGGGGAUGGACUCGCGGCUUAUGCGCUGGUUGGUGGGGUAGUGGCUUACCAAGGCUUUGACGGGUAGCCGGCCUGAGAGGGUGACCGGCCACAUUGGGACUGAGAUACGGCCCAGACUGCUACGGGAGGCAGCAGUGGGGAAUAUUGCACAAUGGGCGGAAGCCUGAUGCAGCAACGCCGCGUGCGUGAUGACGGCCUUCGGGUUGUGAACCGCUGUCUCCUGUGACGAAGCGGGAGUGACGGUAAUGGGUAAAGAAGCACCGGCUAACUACGUG